UAAAUAAAUAAAAAAUAAAAAUAAAAUAAAAAAAACAAACAAAUUAUCCAAAUUAUUAACAAUAUACGUAUUUAUUUCUUUAUUUUGAACCUUUUUUUUCUUAUUUUCUCGGGUGUUUUUAUUCUUGGUCAUAACUGUUUACGGCUCGAGCUGAUGACGUCAUAUGGACUUUGACUCAGGAAGUGCGCGUUGACAGAAGGAAUCCCGGCAGCUGAUUGGCUACUUGAGGUGAAAUGACGCGACAGGGGGAUCCUCUCUGUAAAACCCAGUAAACAGCAGCUUAAUAUCAUUCAGUUGAGUAAGAUCUGAGCACAGUGAGGACACACAGGGUGUGAAGGCAGCAUGGAUCUCCAUGGAAACCAAACAAACCAGUCAGGGUGCAAUAAGCCCAUUCAUGAAGAUCUGAAACCCAUUGCACGACUUUAUCCAUCACUGCCAAAUGAACACGGUUCUGACACGUGCUUGGCUGGAGCAGAGCGUGAUCCAGGAGCAGAGCUCCAUCCUGUGACUGUGCAGGAAGACAAUAAGCUGAAGAAUUCUUCCUGCUGUGCUGGUUUCAGUUUGAAAGCACAAGUCGUUUUCCUGAAGGAGCAAAGAAAACAGCUCCUGUCAAUUAAUGAGAAAUGGGCAAAAGAGUAUCGGACCAUGGUGCACUAUUACAAAAAGAAGCUACAGAUUUCACAAACACUAAAGCCGGAUCAGUUCAUGGAGAGCAAAGCCAAGAUCAGCACAGAUGAGACGAAUUUAAAGACUGAAGGUGAGGACUGUGAUGCUGAUCUACUAAAAAUACAGACGGAAGCCAAACAGUUACGAUUGCAAAACAGGACGCUGACUCACAGAGGGCAGCAUCAGAGAGAAGAGAUUGAUCGACUAAACAAGGCUUUGGCAGCAGCAUUACAGACAGCACAACCUGUUAUGAUGAGCAGCGAAAUACACCCAGACAUCUGGAAACAUCAGGCAGAAGUUUACAAGGAAGACUUCCUCAGAGAACGCAAAGACAGGGAGAACCUUAAGCAGAAGUAUUUUGAGCUUGAGAGAAGGUUCAGCAAGACUUGCAAAGAGCUGCACAUCUUCAAAUCUCAGAUGAAUAAUACUCAGCAACCUGUAGCAGGCGAUCAGUGUCUCUGCAGGGAUGGAGACACACAUUCUUAAUGGAUGGUUGACAAUGGUAACCAGCUCUGAGCCCUGGUACAAAGACGCUUCACACACUGGAUACCAAACACACUCCGUCCUUUCACGAGCCUGACCCUUUCGGAUCCUUUCAAAGCGUGGGCGUAGACUACGUCACUUCCUUCACUCGCCAUCUUCACGACAGAGUUCCCGGGACGUGGUAUUUCAAUGUAAACCGACCAUACGAUGUUUGUUAAAUAUUUUAAUAGUACACAAUGUGUACACGUGUUAAUAUCUGACUGUUUUUGUGGUGUUUUUUAAUUAAUUUUAAAAAAAAAAAGACAAAAAGGAAAAACCACCGCAAGACAAUAUAUACAAAAAUGCAUCAAAACACAAUACACAACAUUGACAAUCAAAAACCAAACAGGAAAUAAAAUAAAAACCAAAAUAAAUCGGAAUUCA
Gouania willdenowi (blunt-snouted clingfish) is the source of this 1572-nucleotide long non-coding RNA. Ensembl annotates it as TNFAIP3-interacting protein 3-like. The record is from Ensembl. NCBI's taxonomy places the organism in Eukaryota, Metazoa, Chordata, Actinopteri, Blenniiformes, Gobiesocidae.